RNAcentral lists this ribosomal RNA (460 nucleotides) under uncultured bacterium. Its description in RNAcentral is "partial 16S ribosomal RNA". It matches the Rfam family "Bacterial small subunit ribosomal RNA", at positions 338 to 795 of the family's 1533-position model. The record is from RNAcentral.
CCUACGGGGGGCAGCAGUGAGGAAUAUUGGUCAAUGGACGAGAGUCUGAACCAGCCAAGUAGCGUGAAGGAUGACUGCCCUAUGGGUUGUAAACUUCUUUUAUAUGGGAAUAAAAUGUUCCACGUGUGGGAUUUUGUAUGUACCAUAUGAAUAAGGAUCGGCUAACUCCGUGCCAGCAGCCGCGGUAAUACGGAGGAUCCGAGCGUUAUCCGGAUUUAUUGGGUUUAAAGGGAGCGUAGGUGGGUUUAUAAGUUAGUUGUGAAAGUUUGCGGCUCAACCGUAAAACUGCAGUUGAUACUGGCAGUCUUGAGUACAGUAGCGGUAGGCGGAAUUCGUGGUGUAGCGGUGAAAUGCUUAGAUAUCACGAAGAACUCCGAUUGCGAAGGCAGUUCACUGGACUGCAACUGACACUGAGGCUCGAAAGUGUGGGUAUCAAACAGGAUUAGAUACCCUAGUAGUC